RNAcentral lists this ribosomal RNA (858 nucleotides) under Coniochaeta punctulata. RNAcentral's name for it is "LSU rRNA". It matches the Rfam family "Eukaryotic large subunit ribosomal RNA", at positions 74 to 965 of the family's 3401-position model. The record is from RNAcentral. Lineage: Eukaryota; Fungi; Ascomycota; Sordariomycetes; Coniochaetales; Coniochaetaceae.
AUUGCCCCAGUAACGGCGAGUGAAGCGGCAACAGCUCAAAUUUGAAAUCUGGCUUCGGCCCGAGUUGUAAUUUGUAGAGGAUGCUUUUGGUGAGGUGCCUUCUGAGUUCCCUGGAACGGGACGCCACAGAGGGUGAGAGCCCCGUAUAGUUGGACACCGAGCCUCUGUAAAGCUCCUUCGACGAGUCGAGUAGUUUGGGAAUGCUGCUCAAAAUGGGAGGUAUAUCUCUUCUAAAGCUAAAUACUGGCCAGAGACCGAUAGCGCACAAGUAGAGUGAUCGAAAGAUGAAAAGCACUUUGAAAAGAGGGUUAAAUAGUACGUGAAAUUGUUGAAAGGGAAGCGCUUGUGACCAGACUUGUGCCGGGCUGAUCAUCCAGUGUUCUCACUGGUGCACUCUGCCCGGCUCAGGCCAGCGUCGGUUCUCGCAGGGGGAUAAAAGCGGCGGGAACGUGGCUCCUCCGGGAGUGUUAUAGCCCGCCGCUCAAUACCCUUGCGGGGACCGAGGUUCGCGCUCCGGCAUGGACGCUGGCAUAAUGGUCAUCAGCGGCCCGUCUUGAAACACGGACCAAGGAGUCGAGGUUUUGCGCGAGUGUUUGGGUGUCAAACCCGCACGCGUAAUGAAAGUGAACGUAGGUGAGAGCUUCGGCGCAUCAUCGACCGAUCCUGAUGUAUUCGGAUGGAUUUGAGUAAGAGCGUUAAGCCUCGGACCCGAAAGAUGGUGAACUAUGCCUGAAUAGGGUGAAGCCAGAGGAAACUCUGGUGGAGGCUCGCAGCGGUUCUGACGUGCAAAUCGAUCGUCAAAUUUGGGCAUGGGGGCGAAAGACUAAUCGAACCAUCUAGUAGCUGGUUACCGCCGAA